Molecule: ribosomal RNA, 497 nt
Filed under: uncultured bacterium
Lineage: Bacteria
Description: partial 16S ribosomal RNA
Rfam family: Bacterial small subunit ribosomal RNA
Source: RNAcentral
GAUGAACGCUGGCGGCGUGCCUAAUACAUGCAAGUCGAGCGAACAGAUGAGGAGCUUGCUCCUCUGACGUUAGCGGCGGACGGGUGAGUAACACGUGGAUAACCUACCUAUAAGACUGGGAUAACUUCGGGAAACCGGAGCUAAUACCGGAUAAUAUAUUGAACCGCAUGGUUCAAUAGUGAAAGACGGUUUUGCUGUCACUUAUAGAUGGAUCCGCGCCGCAUUAGCUAGUUGGUAAGGUAACGGCUUACCAAGGCAACGAUGCGUAGCCGACCUGAGAGGAUGAUCAGCCACACUGGAACUGAGACACGGUCCAGACUCCUACGGGAGGCAGCAGUGGGGAAUCUUCCGCAAUGGGCGAAAGCCUGACGGAGCAACGCCGCGUGAGUGAUGAAGGUCUUCGGGUCGUAAAGCUCUGUUGUUAGGGAAGAACAAAUGUGUAAUUAACUAUGGCCGUCUUGACGGUACCUAAACAGAAAGCCACGGCUAACUACGUG